This 1282-nucleotide long non-coding RNA is filed under the name Homo sapiens (human). Its description in RNAcentral is "non-protein coding lnc-ZNF492-8:2". Lineage: Eukaryota; Metazoa; Chordata; Mammalia; Primates; Hominidae. The record is from RNAcentral.
CUGGGGUGGAAACCGCGGCCUACUUUCCCGCCUCCAGCAAACUCUGCAAUUGCUGAGGUUGAUUUAGCAGCACCCAAGGGAUCUGGGUCGGCAAGAGCACCUCAGUGACAGCCUGGCACCGGGGUCCGCAGGAGAAGGCCAGGCUGGGGCCAGGGAGCUGAGGCUGAGGAGGAGCGUUUGCACAGGCUAGGGAGACACGGCACAGCAGUAUCCGCCUCAGACAUUUGUAGCACCGUUAGUCCUGCCACUUUCUCUCACUGUAGCUUCGCAACAGACUUGGGAACCAAGCAAGGCAUGGCUGAGGAAGCUUAAGCCCAGUCUGGGCUCGCGGAAGAAGCUGGUGGAUCCAAAUAUCUGCUUCCUGCCUCCACCCACCCCUCCCCGCUCCCGUGGUUGGGGAACUCCAGAGCCCCACAUCACAGUUCAGCACGUGCCUCAGGAGCUUCAGCACCUCCUUCGUGAAAGGAGAGUCUGCCGGUAACGGGGGAAGCAGGCCAUCAGCCUGCCCAGCUUCAUCUCAGGCCGCUUCCAACAGCGCCAAGCAAACUCCCUUGGCAAGAUCCAUGCAAGGCCGCGGCUGACCACCGGGAGGCAGCAGCCUACUCUGCAAGGCACUCUCUUUACCCGACCCCCACCCCCUUUUAACAGGUGGCAGGAAACCUGCUGGCCCAGCCAUCUGCCGCACCCACCCUUCACUCCCAGUCCCAUCUCCCCAUAGCACAGAUUUCCCUAUCAUGAGCCCAGACGUGGCCUGCAUCUCCUCUUGCCUUCCUCUGCCCAAGGAAUCCCUACAGAGAUUCUUUCUCUAUCUUCCUUUAUACAUUUCCACAGAAUUGUUUCCCCAGGGCCCCUCCCCUUGAAGAAAUUAGACAGGAAGCUGGAGUAGAUGGUUCCCUCUUUCCCACCUCUCACACUCCCAAGCUCUGGUUAACUCUCUGUGGGCCAGUGGCUAGAUUCCCCAACACAGAUGACAACUGAACAAUACACAUGCAGCGUAAGAAUGUUGUCGCUGCCACCAGCCACUUACAGAUACACCAUUGCUAAGGUCCACCCAACUGGACUGUUUCCCCCUUCCAUAGACUAAGCCCCAAAGGCCAAAAAUAAAACCCCCUACCCCAAACCUGCCUAUAACUGUUUGACCAGAGGCCAGCUGUCCCAGGAUGCGGUUAAGAUGUCUACCUUGCACAACAGAACUGGCAAGAAAAACAUCUCCAGGAAGCGGUCAGAUACACGGCACAAAGGACUCCCCCCUCCCCGCUUUUCCUUUUCCUUCACCCUGACC